Molecule: ribosomal RNA, 264 nt
Filed under: Bacillus licheniformis
Lineage: Bacteria; Bacillati; Bacillota; Bacilli; Caryophanales; Bacillaceae
Description: partial 16S ribosomal RNA
Rfam family: Bacterial small subunit ribosomal RNA
Source: RNAcentral
UUCAUGGAGAGUUUGAUCCUGGCUCAGGACGAACGCUGGCGGCGUGCCUAAUACAUGCAAGUCGAGCGGACCGACGGGAGCUUGCUCCCUUAGGUCAGCGGCGGACGGGUGAGUAACACGUGGGUAACCUGCCUGUAAGACUGGGAUAACUCCGGGAAACCGGGGCUAAUACCGGAUGCUUGAUUGAACCGCAUGGUUCAAUCAUAAAAGGUGGCUUUUAGCUACCACUUACAGAUGGACCCGCGGCGCAUUAGCUAGUUGGUG